RNAcentral lists this long non-coding RNA (6871 nucleotides) under Marmota monax (woodchuck). The record is from RNAcentral. Lineage: Eukaryota; Metazoa; Chordata; Mammalia; Rodentia; Sciuridae.
GAUGGUCGACUGGCAAAACUAAAUGCAGGAAGGGGUUUCUCUGAUGUAUUUGAAGAAGAAAUCAGUUCAGGUGGCUUUUGUGGAGGUAAAACCUAUUUACAAUAUUAUUAUCCAUUUUUAAAAUAACAAUUACCUUGAUUUUUGUACUUGAAUUUAUAUAUUCUGUUUCAUAAACAACUCUUUUCUUCUGUAUAUACAUAAUGUCUUAAGUAUAUUUUUCAUCUUAUAAUAUCAAUAUCAAGUAAUUUUGUUUGAUAUCUGUUAUUCAAGGCAUUAAGUUUGUCUUCAUGAAUUAGUAGCUGUUGACUUAGACAAUCUCCUAAUAAUACUGCAAAUGAAUAAUAGAAGUCCAAUAAAUAUGUAUCCUUUUGCCUUUCCUCCUAAAUAGUUGUCUCUACCAGAAAAUAAUUGUAGUGGUAAUUUCUGAGUAUGAAUUUAAAAACUGAGAUUCGGAUUGAAAUGGCACAUGUAAUAUAAUCUAAAGGGAAAUAUGUGAACACCAUAACUCAUUCUGCAUUUUUAUGUAAGUGUAUUAUUUUAUGGAAGUCUUUUCCUAUUUUACUUUGCAGAUCACUUCAGCUUUAGGAAAAGUAUAUCAUUACAUAAAUAUAACUAAUUCUACAGCCCUCUGGUGUAUUGUAUUUAUGGUGUCACGCAAGAUUCCCAUAAGUAUAAUUAAUUAUUCAAAUGUAAAUAUCCCAAAAUAUAAUUAUAUGGGCAACUAAUGAUUUAUAGAUUGAUGUUUUGUGCACAUAUGUUCUAGUAUAUAGUCGCAACUUACAUAGAAUUUUGGUUGAGUCCUUGAAAUGUCCCAUUUAUUCAUUCAUUCAGGCAGUAUUACUGAGUCCUUACUAUGUAUUGUUCUAGAUACCAGGCAAGCAAAAUAAAGAUUUUUUUCCCUCAUAUCUUGGUGUGUUUGUUUUUAACCUGGUAUAAUGGCGUUUUUUUCAACUCUUUGUAGUUAUAUUUGAAGAAAAGAAGUUUUUAGUCUGCAUGAAUAAAUAGUUGUUAGAAUUGAGAAAACAUGAAACGAUAAAAAGUCAUAAGUAUUCAUCUAUAAAUUUAACAAAUUUUAAUUUUAUUCUUAAAUAAGAUUUAUUUCCUCACCUUAAAAUAUAGAAAUAAAUAUACAUUUUUUUCUAAAAGAAGUACAAAUGAAUUUUGCAAUUGCAGACCUUUAUCUAAGGUACAGCAUUUUAUUGAUUGCAUUUAGCUUGGGGAAAAAGUUCUAUUUGACUUAGUAGGUAAGCUGCAUAUGGAAUCAUUCAGCUCCUUGCUUUCCUUAGCUCUUAGGGAAAAAUUUAGCUUCAAUGGAACUUUUGUGUUAAAAUAAUGCUGUUUUACUUUUCAACUAAGACAAGCAAAAUAUUGUCAGCUUAUGGACAAAUUGCUUGAGGCAUCUAUUCAGUAUUUACAUAACUGCUGUCUCAUUAUCUUUAUGACCCGUGGGGCUAGUAGCUUUUAUAGAAUUGAAGUUGACAUCUUGUGACAGUAAUGGGGUAGAACUAUGAUCCUUUUAUACAGUUAAAUUCUGUGGUCUUAACCAUUGCUCAAGAUACCUCUGUAAUAAAGUAGAAAUAAAUGGCUUUUCUGGUGGAAGAGGAUAACUUAAGAUUUUUUUUAAUUAAAGAUUUUAUCACUUAAAAAAUAAUAGGGAAAUAUGAUCACUGGUUAUCAUCUGACUUAGAGACUGCCACAUUGUUAGUUCAACUCAAUUUCAAUUGCUUUGUUGUUCUUUAGUACAAUUUAGUACAGAAAAUGUUUUUGAGCUUUUAUUCUAAUUUGAGGGAGCAAAUAACCUAUCCCAAAGGAAAUCCUAGUUCAGCAAUUACUCAUUUCAGUAAAUAAAGAAGUACCUUAAAAUAAUACCUGUCAAAUUUUAUUUUUAGUUGUAUUUUAGAUUCUUUUAGAUAUACAUGGAGAUUAUUCUUAGAAAAUAAAGCAUAAUUCACUAGGAUUUGAAAUAAGAAAAAUGACUAAUAAAAUUAGCAAUAUUCUUCUAACUACUAAUUAGGACAUAUCUGUCUGUUUAGGAUAUAUAUCUGUCUGUUUAUUUCCAAAAAUAUUUCUUGGUGGUCUCCUCCAAAUGUGUCAUCUAGUAUACUCAGGAGAAGGAAGAGUACAUCUGCCAUGACAUUCACCUGUAAAAUGUAAACAGUAAUAACUCUCAUUUCUCUUACAGUAACUGUAGUAAUUGUUCAUGUUUAUUGAGUACUAAUAUGUGUCAGAAAUUCUCAUUUUAUUCUGACUACACUCUAAGAGGCACUUUGACUAGUCCAUUUAUAUGAAGGCACUCAAUUCAGUAAUUCUCUCAAAGUCGCAUAGGAAGUAGAGACCAGUCUAAACUCGGCACAUAUCUAUCUAGUUUCAAAGCUCUUGUGGUAAUGACUAUAGCAUAUCUAUGUUUUUAUACUAGGAGAUAUUAAUAAGGGAACAGGUUGUAAGCAAAAGUAGCACUUAAGCCCUCUCUUCUCUGAAUAAAAGCAAAAGUCCUAUAUUUCUGACCAUAUCUUGAAGACUUGUUUAUACAUCAAGCACAGAAAAGAUCACUGUAAGAGAAAUCAACAUUAACUAAAACUGAAGAACAAAAUUAAGUUUCUUUAAGCAAAAAUAAUUAGGAAAAUUUAGGGAAGCAUCUAUACAUCAUGACAGUAGUAAUUUGUAUGCUAUUUUUGUUGCUAGUGUUUGUUUUAUGAUAAAAUGAUUGUUGAGUAUGGUAUAAUUGUGGUUCUAAUUAAAAUUAUACAAGGCAGUAUAAUCAGAUAUAGAACAUUUAGAUUCACAUUUGAAUCUAGAAAUAUGAUUAAAGAGUCUGUGAAUUCAUAGAGAUUUUAUAAAACCUUUUUCUGUCCCAUAAGUUUUCAUAUCAGGACUACUAAGCAAUUCAUGUUGUACUUGAUUCUUUUCAUCACUUUUGCAGAAUGUUUAAUCUUAAUUUAUAAGAAUAGUAUACCAGGAAAUAUAUGAAGGGAAAUGUAUCCAUGGAUGUUGAAAUAUAAGAGGACAUGAAUAUAACAAGACUCAAUUAGGUAAACACAGAUCAUCUCAGAGCCACAGUUUCCUCAUUUGACAAGUUAUUCAUAAUAAUAACUAACACUCAUGAUAUUUCUGGGAUGUGUUAGAUACCCUGCUAAACAUCAUAUCAUCAUUAUCUUUCAUACUCACAUUAAUCCUAAAAGCCAUUGACUGUUAAGAUGAAUGAUGAGGCUGAGACUCACCAAACUAAGGUUCUUUUUCCUAAAUAGUCUGUGAAAGCCACUCAAGAAAGUUUAAUAGGAAUGUUGUUUUGUAAAUAUAUUUUCAGUUAAAAUAAUACUAGUUUUUAAAUCCUCAUCAAAUAGUCUAAACUUUAGAAAGGAGAACUAUUUUAAUGUUGAUUUUUAUAUAGAAGUAUGUGGGUACUCUUCAUUAGUAGCAUUAUUUCCUCAUUAGCUUCCUGAUAUAAUCUGGUCAGAUCUUUGUUUAUUUCUUUUUACUGACUAAGGUAUUAAAGAAUUUGAUGAGGUAGUAGAUAUUUAUCAGUUUUAGUGGCAUUUUUCUGGCCACAUAAGCACUUUAAAUCAAUUUACAUAUUUUGAUAAAUAACUAUACUUUACUGGAAUUUAAACAAAUACAUUUGAAAAAACAGUCUUUGCAUAAGUGAAAGCUAAAGAUAUUUUGUCCUUGAGUAAGUCAAAAUGAGUUGUUUAAUAAGAAUGUUAAAAUUUUUAAAUAAGGCUUGUUAAUUGCCUGAAACAGUUAACUUAAAAGAAACAUUGAUGGAUUAUUUUUUGCAUUCAAAUUAAUUUUUAAGAAGAAAAGCAGCCUUAUUUUUUUUUAACAUUACCAAAGGAUUAUGUGAUUGUCUCAUAAGUUUCAUAGAAAUAGGAACCUUACUUAUGUCAUAAAACAGUAAAAUUUAGGGAUACAGUCCUUAAAUUUUUUAAAACGGGAAUCUACCUAAAUUGUUUCACAUUUUGCUGUCAUCUUAACCAGUUUAUUUAUUCCUAGGGAAUUACUGUUUGCCCUCAUAUGUCAUAGUUUUAUAUUAUUCUAGAUUUUUAAUUUCCCUUUCAAAGCUCUAGCUUGAGCAGCCCCUCUCCCUUUCUUCUUUUUCUUUUUUCUUUAUUUUUUGGGGAGGGGAUGGGAGUUGAACUUGGCAGGCACUCAACCACUGAGCCUGGUCCACAACCCUAUUUUGCAUUUUAUUUAGAGACAGGGUCUCACUGAGUUGCUUAGUGCCUUGCUUUUGCUGAGGCUGGCUUUGAACUCAUGAUCCUCCUAUCUCAGCCUCCAGAGCUGCUGGGAUUACAGGCGUGCACCACUGCACCCAGCAUCCCUUUCUAACGUAAUUGCUUUGGAGGUGAUACAGAGAAACCUCUGUAUAACUUAAAUGUUCUGAUAUUUUACUAAGUAGUCUUAGAGAUAGUAUUUCAGAGUUGAAAGAAUAAUGAACCAGGAAUUAAAAUGCCUAGAUUAUUCUUUCUUGGUUGUUAGACUUCCAAAUUUGGGCAAAGAAUGUAUCAUCUCAGAACCACAGCUUCCUUAUUUGGAAACUUAUUAAUAAUAAUUAAUAAUAACUAACAUUUAUGGUGGUUCUGUGAUGUGUUAGGUACCCUACUAAAUAUCAUAUAAUAAUUAUCUUUCAUUCUUAUAUACAUUAAUCCUAAAAGUCAAUGAUAGGCUUUGACCAAUAAGGAGGGUGAGACUCUGCUAUUAAGAACCUAGUUCCAUAUCACAUGGUUUGCAGGGUGGACCUGGACUACAAAGGUCUGUUGCACACCAAAUGCUGCUUCCUUCCCAUCCAGCUAUGUUUCCUAUGGCAUUGCCUGCUUUGCCUGUUUUAUAGUAGAAAUGUUCAGAUCGAAUAACAUAAUGUAGAUAAAAACAUCUGUGACCUGUGGAGAGCUCAGUAGGAACUUUUUUUAAACCUUACAAUCCUAAAUAAGACACUAACCUUUCUAUAACAGAUCCAUUGUCUUAUCAUAGCUAUUUUCUUUGUGUUUGAGUAUCCAAAAAUGCUGAAGUGUUAUAUUAUUGGCAUUUCUCUGAUUUCUUAAAUUCAUUUUAGGAAAAUAAUUAAAUACUUUACAGAAUAACUGUAAAUAACAUCUAAAUCUUAAAUUUAUGAUUUUCACUCAAUCAUUUUUAACAAUAAAAAAGUAAAAAAAUAUAUGAACUGAUGAGACUUUUUAAUAGACGAGUGAAUAAUCUGGAUGAAUAAAAAUAUGCACUUAAUUUUAUCAUUAAUAAAAAUCUCCUUGAGAAAUAAAUUUAUAGGAUAACUUGGAAUUUGUUAUUUUACAAUGGAAAAUACAUUUUAAAAAAUUUGGACAAGCCAAGACCUCUUAAAGCUUACCCUUUUAAACUUAUUUUACAUAAAUUAUUUCAGGUAGAUACAUUUUUGUGUAGUCAUUUACAAAAUUAAAAAAAAUAUAUAGUAUUUCUCUCUAGAUUAUUUUCUCCAAAAAAGGCAUAAUGCAGUGUGGAGUGGUAAGAGAUGUUUAUCAGAAUAAAAGUGAUUUCUUGAUACUUCUUUAAAUUAGGAAAAGAUUUUAAGUCUAAGAGUGAAUCCAGAGCACAAUGCUUUGCCUGAUGUUUAUUAGGGUUACAAAGAAUAACAGGAAAAAAAUUCUUAGGCUGGGAUCAUUCUGCUUCUGUUUUUGUAACAGCAAGGUGGUACUUCUCCUCCCCACCUCUCUAAGCCACAACCACAAACAAAGGAACACCAUUUUUAGAAGUCACUUGUACCUGGUUAUUGACAGGGUAGCCACUGGCACUUUGAUUUUUUUGUUUGUUUUAGAAGGAAGUUACUGGGAAUUGAGCACAAGGAUACACUACCCCUAAGCUACAUUCCUGGGCCUUUCUACUGCUUAUGUUGGUAUAGGGUCUUGCUAAAUUGCCCAGGUUGGCUUUGAACUUGCCAUCCUCCUGCCUUAACCUCCUGAGUCUGAGAUUGCAGGAGUGUGCCACUACACCUAGUAACACAUUUUAUUGUGAUUUUUCACCCUUCUUUAGAGAAUAUUUAAACAUUUAUACUAACAAGAAAGUAGUUGAAAUCAGUUGAUAUGAAAGAUUAGGCUAGUAAUAUGGAUUACUUUUUUGCCUUUGAAUCUCAUUUUAUUGGCCAAAUUAUUUACCGUAUUUCAAAGUCAGUCAGUUCCAAAUUGUAUUAGAACUAGUUUUUGUCAGCAUUUGAGCUUUGUAAUAAUAAUAACCAGGUACACUGUAGCUUAAAAGCUACAUUUGCUUUACAUUUCCUUGGGUGAUACCUUUCAAAUUUAUAGAUUUGUAACCAGAGAAUAUGCUCAGAACUAAAACUGUGGUUUAAUUGCAUUAAAAUAAAGUUAAUUAAUGUGUUAAUAAUUAACAACCACAGAAUAAAUUUGUUGUACCUCAGAUUCGUUCAGCUCCAAAUUUCCUUCUGAAUUUUUCACACUUCUCUCUGCACUUGAGUGGCAUUUUAAGUAAAAUUAUGUAAAAAAGGCCAACUUUUACAAAACAGCAGAGACAUAAAACAUUGAAAAUUAAGUUUAAAAAAAUAGAAAUUUUGGAUUUGAAAAGAGAUGAGAUAUUCCCUCUGAGGCCAAUAUGAAAAUAAAAGAAUAGAUAAUAAUAUAUUAUUUUCAUAUGUCAAUGAAAAAAGUGUCUUUUCAAGUGCUAAUUAUAAAAAUUAAAGCAUUAAUUCUCAUUGUGCCAUUGCAUCUUUUACAACAUUGUAAGUAAAAUUUGCCUACUAAGAUGCUAGAAAUAUUAGUUAUUGAUGAAUUUUAAUUUAUAAAUUUUUAUUUUUGAUUCCUGAUAUCAGAUUUUCUGUAUUCCAGGGAACCCAAGGUCAUAUCAACAAUGGGUACAUACAGUAAAGGUAAUAAUAUGCUUUCAAAGUUUCUUC